Molecule: ribosomal RNA, 461 nt
Filed under: uncultured bacterium
Lineage: Bacteria
Description: bacterial SSU rRNA
Rfam family: Bacterial small subunit ribosomal RNA
Source: RNAcentral
AACGAACGCUGGCGGCAGGCCUAACACAUGCAAGUCGAACGGAUGUAGCAAUACAUUAGUGGCGCACGGGUGAGUAACGCGUGGGAACGUGCCCUUGGGUGCGGAAUAACACAGGGAAACUUGUGCUAAUACCGCAUAAUAUCUUCGGAUCAAAGAUUUAUCGCCCAAGGAUCGGCCCGCGUCUGAUUAGGUAGUUGGUGAGGUAAUGGCUCACCAAGCCUACGAUCAGUAGCUGGUCUGAGAGGAUGAUCCGCCACACUGGAACUGAGACACGGCCCAGACUCCUACGGGAGGCAGCAGUGGGGAAUAUUGGGCAAUGGGCGAAAGCCUGACCCAGCAACGCCGCGUGAAGGAUGAAGGUCUUCGGAUUGUAAACUUCUUUGAUUAGGGAAGAAUUUUUGACCUACCUAAAGAACAAGUCACGGCUAACUACGUGCCAGCAGCCGCGGUAAACUUAUCGU